This 927-nucleotide long non-coding RNA is filed under the name Cyanistes caeruleus (blue tit). RNAcentral's name for it is "lncRNA (ENSCCEG00000016477.1)". The record is from RNAcentral. Lineage: Eukaryota; Metazoa; Chordata; Aves; Passeriformes; Paridae.
UUGGGAGAAGCUGUGAGCUUGCAAUCAAUGCUUAGAGAGCUGCAUCUGACCCUCCCCUCCUUGACUAAUUGCUUCCAUAUGCUGACAUGGGGUGAUUUUGCUGGUCUGAGGAGUCAUAAAGGAGGGGGUGGAAGGUACAGCCCCUUUCCCCAGCCCAGCCGGAGCAGCUCUGGGACACUCAGCCUUCCUGCCAGGCAGGCUACACAGAGCCUUAAACUUGCAAAAGGGAUUUGUGAGCAGCCUGCUUGUCAAGAACAAAUACUAGUCAAAAGAAAUGUGUGACUUAUUGACCUUGGGUUCACUGAACCUUCAUCUUGAUGCUUCCGUACCACUAAGGAAUCGGCUUCUCUGAAAAUUAAAGUUCCCAGAUUAGAAUAGAAGCUUCAACAAAGGACCUGUGUGGCUUUGCAAAUACACAUCGAUUAGAGGACUUUGGAAGAGCUUUGUUAGAAAAGUGGAAUUAUGAAAAGCAAAUGUUUGAGAGAAGAUAAGAAGAAUAGUGAAUGGCCUCAGACAAGACACACAAUGAAGCUUCCAGCAAUGCUCCUGAAGUGCCUUGGGAGAGUUGAUGGUGGGCACACAGAGGAACCAGCUGCAGUUUGGGCUGCCUGUGGUACUCAGAACUGCACUGGCUCUGAAGCUUGUAACCAACCAGGCAGAGGUGAAAAAAGGUCAGGAAGAAUCUUGCUGUUCCCAGUGUCUGUCAAUUUGGUGCAGAACAACAGAUGUACCUUCCCUCUGGUGUGCUGGGUGACUCUUGUGCUUGGUGAUAUCCUGGGUGUCUGUGGGCAAACACACAAAUUAAAGAGAGGAGGAGGGAGCUGUGUGCCCUGCUUAAGCAGUGUCUGCCUGGCUCUGGGUAGGCUGUGGAGGAUGCAGGUAGGCAAGCAGAUACAGCUAUCUUCUGGGGGGCAAAUCUUUGUGUGA